GCAUUAUUCACAAAUUCGUAUGAAUUGCAUUGACCACUCAUAGUUAUCUAAUUCUGUAUCAUUAUCAUGAGUCAUAAAUACAGACUCUUGUCACAGGUGCAGAAUCAGUGCUGAUAUUCAACCAGCAUGCAUCAGUACGAUUAUGUCAGUUGUAAAAAUAUUUAAAGAUUUAAUGCCAGUUGUUUAAGAAGUGUAAUGAUAAUAACCAGACAUCAUUCUCAUAGACAAGCAAAACCAGACAUCACUCUCAUAGACAAGCAAAACAAAGUUACUUACAUUAUAGAUAUCUCAAUACCCAACACACACAACAUUCAGGAUGCAUUCACCCAAAAAAUUAGCAAAUACACAGAACUCUCACAAGAAACUAAGUGUCUUUGGAGAAUACAAAAGGUACUCGCAGUUAUAGGUAUCUAGUAUACUCACAGUACCCAUCAUUCUGUCUGCAACAGGAGUAAUUCCUCACACUCUACAAAAAACCUCAAACACUAGAUUUACAGGGCAAAACAUAUGUAGCACUACAGCAGGCAUCACUACUCAAUACAUGCAACACUACUCAAUACAUGCAACAUAGUAAGAAAGUUUCUCAGCACUGACACAGCACUAAGUGAGAUGUUUAGUUAUGGCACAUCU
This 630-nucleotide long non-coding RNA is filed under the name Androctonus crassicauda. Lineage: Eukaryota; Metazoa; Arthropoda; Arachnida; Scorpiones; Buthidae. The record is from RNAcentral.